Molecule: ribosomal RNA, 447 nt
Filed under: uncultured bacterium
Lineage: Bacteria
Description: bacterial SSU rRNA
Rfam family: Bacterial small subunit ribosomal RNA
Source: RNAcentral
UCGGGAAUUUUGGGCAAUGGGCGAAAGCCUGACCCAGCAACGCCGCGUGAAGGAUGAAGUAUUUCGGUAUGUAAACUUCGAAAGAAUGGGAAGAAUCAAUGACGGUACCAUUUAUAAGGUCCGGCUAACUACGUGCCAGCAGCCGCGGUAAUACGUAGGGACCAAGCGUUGUUCGGAUUUACUGGGCGUAAAGGGCGCGUAGGCGGCAAUUCAAGUCAUCUGUGAAAUCUCCGGGCUUAACUCGGAACGGUCAGAUGAUACUGCUUUGCUAGAGUGCAGAAGGGGCAAUCGGAAUUCUUGGUGUAGCGGUGAAAUGCGUAGAUAUCAAGAGGAACACCUGAGGUGAAGACGGGUUGCUGGGCUGACACUGACGCUGAGGCGCGAAAGCCAGGGGAGCAAACGGGAUUAGAUACCCUUGUAGUCCCUGAGCGGGCUGGCAAGGCGCAU